RNAcentral lists this ribosomal RNA (384 nucleotides) under uncultured bacterium. Its description in RNAcentral is "partial 16S ribosomal RNA". It matches the Rfam family "Bacterial small subunit ribosomal RNA", at positions 28 to 418 of the family's 1533-position model. The record is from RNAcentral.
GAUAAACGCUGGCGGCGUGCCUAAUCAAUGCGAGUCGAACGGGGGUCCUUCGGGGCCCGAGUGGCGUCCGGGUGAGUAACGCGUAGCUAACCUACCUGAGAGUGGGGGAGUACCCGUCAGAAAUGGCGGCUAAUACCGCAUAGGGUGACAUCCCGACGGGGAUGACAUGAAGGCCGCAAGGCGCUCACAGAGGGGGCUGCGUCUGAUUAGCUAGUCGGUGGGGUAACGGCCUACCGAGGCAACGAUCAGUAGCUGGUCUGAGAGGAUGGUCAGCCACACUGGGACUGAGACAUGGUCCAGAGCUCUACGGGGUUUAGCAUGAAGGGAUAUUGCGCAAUGGGCGAAAGCCUGACGCAGCAACGCCGCGUGUGGGACGAAGCCUUU